This is a long non-coding RNA of Gorilla gorilla gorilla (western lowland gorilla), 2420 nucleotides long. RefSeq lists it as uncharacterized. The record is from RefSeq and is a predicted model, not a curated record. NCBI's taxonomy places the organism in Eukaryota, Metazoa, Chordata, Mammalia, Primates, Hominidae. The transcript is spliced from 4 exons.
AGCACGCCCGGGAGCGCGCAUGCGCAGCGCUGCUGGCCCGCUCUCUGAGGAGCUUUCAAUACUUUGGGGUCAAGUUUGAGGUAGUUGUAACUGUACUGAGUUUAGUUUUGCUAAUAAUGGUAUUCUACGUGUGUCAGCCUCGUGUGGACUUCUGUAAUGACUAAUGGAUAUGUUUAUAUCCUGAGCAUUUGCUGUAGGAAUUUUAAAUGCAAUCCCAAAACUCAAGAUUACUUUAUUUGGAGAAAUAUUAGUGUUACUAUGUUUAAAAUUUAAUAGAUAGAACCGUAUUUUACCUUUCACUUUGGGACUCGCACAGGAUGUUUGCAGCUCUUGAUAUACAGGAGUGUUAAGGGUCUUUAUAAACAGAAACCGCAAGGAACCUGGGAUCUGACAGCUGUUGGAGGAAUGCCUGUGAGGAAGGAGGAGGAACAGAAGAAUACUUCGAUGUCUUAAAUGGUACAUACAAACUUAAGUGAAAUAGAGUUGUGAGGACAUUUUGGGGAGAAGUGACCUAGAUAAGCACUGACUGUUGCAUUCAUCUCUCUUCUUGCUGAUUGUGAUGAUUUCCUGUGCCAUAGCCAUUCAAAGUCUGCCAAAAAAGCUAGCAUGUAAUUUUCCUUCUCUACUUCUCUACAUUUGGAGGAUGGAAAUGUAGAUGCUCUUCCAUUGUGCCAGCCUCCUCAUUCUUCUUUCUCCAAUGCCACAUCUUCCUGCAAACUUCCUGCCACAACUCAAACAACAGGAAAAUAAAUGAUCUGAAAUCCUCCUGAACUGCAGCCUACCUAUCGUGGUCUCUAUGGGUGCAAACUUCCUUCCAGAAGCUUGUUCAGCUGGCUAAAACAGGACAUUUGCCAAUGCAGCCAAAAGUUGGGUCUUAUACUGGCUACCUCCUUUGCAGAGUGAAAAACUUUUCUUUCUCCCACAGCCACAGACAUCGCUCCUCUUCCAGCUCAACAUCUUUCAAAGGGAUGGCUCUCAGUCCCGAAAUGAAAAGAAAAGGUGGCUUGGUGCAAAUCAUUCUCUGUAUCAGCAAAAGAAAUACCAAAGUCUGUGUCCUUCUGACAUAGUGAGCUGUCGAGGUAGUCCAGGGAAAAGAUGAAAGUGAAUUGAAUUAUGGGAUGGCAAUGGAGACUGAAAAGAAUCUGUAUUUAAUAUAUGUAUAUAUAUCAUUAAGGUAGAACUAGUGGAUUUUCUCUGGCACUGCACAUGGGAAGCAAGGGAAGGAGAGUGAUCUAGAAUGAUGCCACCAUUUUUGCCUGAGAAAUUCAGUACUCAGAGGUGUCAUUCAGAGAGAUGGAGGAAACAAGAAGAGGAGCAAGUUGGGGGAAAGGGUAAGCAGAAUCAAAAACUGUGUUGAUACCUUAACUUUAGGAUGCAUAGUAGACAUCGGAGUACAGAUGGAGUUUAGGAGCAAAGUUAUGUAGAGAGAUAAAUUUGAGAAUCUGUAAUUCUUUUAUUUGUGGCAGAUAAUUAGACAAAUGAUUUCUAAAUAUUCCCAUGACUACUACAGAACAUCGGUAAAUUCCUUAAUAAUACUAGAAGGAGAAAUGUGGUUUAAAUUUUCCCAGGGGUUUUCUAACCUUUCAGCAAUUCUCUUUCUUUUCAGCAAAUGUUUGGUAAUUUUGCUGGAAUAUUGGGGUGGGGCUGCUUUCUUUUUAAGGCUGCUAUUUCUUUAUGUAUUUCGCUGGUCUUUAAGCUCUCAAGUAGAAUCAUCUGAUGUGAUUUCUCAGCUAAUAUAGGCAUUUUAUAACUUGCCCAGAGCCUCAUUGUUUUCAAUUCUGUUUUUUUUCCCCCUAUUAGUUCUAUAACCAUAUUUGUGACUUUGUAUUUUGAGACAUUCUGGAACAUUCUCCGGUAGAAUAAAACUAUAAUACUAUGGGAAUAACAAAUACAAUACUAUACUUAGAAAACAACCAUAGGGCUGGGCGCAGUGGCUUACACCUGUAAUCCCAACACUUUGGAGGCCGAGGCAGGCGGAUCACAAGAUCAAGAGAUUGAGACCAUCCUGAGUACAGAGUGAAACCCCAUCUGUACUAAAAAUACAAAAAUUAGCUGGGCAUGAUGGCACGCACCUGUAGUCCCAGCUACUCGGGAGGCUGAGGCAGGAGAAUUGCUUGAACCCGCUCUUUUUUUGACAUGACCACACCCUGCAGCAGCUCGCCCACUUACUCCACUAUGUGACACUGGACAAGUCAUUUAGCAUCUCCUGGCACAAUUUCCCCACCUGUACGGUAGAGGUAAUAAUCCUAAUGCCUACCAGAAGGUAAUAAAUAAGGAUUAAAUGAGAUAACACAGGUAAAGUGCUUAGAAUGGUGUUUAGAAUUUAGUAAGUCAUGGCUAUUGUUAUGAUUAUCUUCUGCCCAUAUAAGUGGUUGGAGAACACACGUGAGUAAAUAAAGUUUGGUUGAAUCUGCUUCACA